RNAcentral lists this ribosomal RNA (800 nucleotides) under Flavobacterium sp. Its description in RNAcentral is "bacterial SSU rRNA". It matches the Rfam family "Bacterial small subunit ribosomal RNA", at positions 248 to 1053 of the family's 1533-position model. Lineage: Bacteria; Pseudomonadati; Bacteroidota; Flavobacteriia; Flavobacteriales; Flavobacteriaceae. The record is from RNAcentral.
GUUGGUAAGGUAACGGCUUACCAAGGCUACGAUGGGUAGGGGUCCUGAGAGGGAGAUCCCCCACACUGGUACUGAGACACGGACCAGACUCCUACGGGAGGCAGCAGUGAGGAAUAUUGGACAAUGGGCGCAAGCCUGAUCCAGCCAUGCCGCGUGCAGGAUGACGGUCCUAUGGAUUGUAAACUGCUUUUAUACGAGAAGAAACACUACUUCGUGAAGUAGCUUGACGGUAUCGUAAGAAUAAGGAUCGGCUAACUCCGUGCCAGCAGCCGCGGUAAUACGGAGGAUCCAAGCGUUAUCCGGAAUCAUUGGGUUUAAAGGGUCCGUAGGCGGUUUGGUAAGUCAGUGGUGAAAGCCCAUCGCUCAACGGUGGAACGGCCAUUGAUACUGCCAGACUUGAAUUAUUAGGAAGUAACUAGAAUAUGUAGUGUAGCGGUGAAAUGCUUAGAGAUUACAUGGAAUACCAAUUGCGAAGGCAGGUUACUACUAAUGGAUUGACGCUGAUGGACGAAAGCGUGGGUAGCGAACAGGAUUAGAUACCCUGGUAGUCCACGCCGUAAACGAUGGAUACUAGCUGUUGGAAGCAAUUUCAGUGGCUAAGCGAAAGUGAUAAGUAUCCCACCUGGGGAGUACGUUCGCAAGAAUGAAACUCAAAGGAAUUGACGGGGGCCCGCACAAGCGGUGGAGCAUGUGGUUUAAUUCGAUGAUACGCGAGGAACCUUACCAAGGCUUAAAUGUAGAUUGACCGUUUUGGAAACAGAACUUUCGCAAGACAAUUUACAAGGUGCUGCAUGGUUGUC